UCGAGUGGCGAACGGGUGAGUAACACGUGGGUGAUCUGCCCUGCACUCUGGGAUAAGCCUGGGAAACUGGGUCUAAUACCGGAUAUGACCUGAUGCUGCAUGGUAUCGGGUGGAAAGCUUUUGCGGUGUGGGAUGGGCCCGCGGCCUAUCAGCUUGUUGGUGGGGUAAUGGCCUACCAAGGCGACGACGGGUAGCCGACCUGAGAGGGUGAUCGGCCACACUGGGACUGAGACACGGCCCAG
Molecule: ribosomal RNA, 242 nt
Filed under: uncultured bacterium
Lineage: Bacteria
Description: partial 16S ribosomal RNA
Rfam family: Bacterial small subunit ribosomal RNA
Source: RNAcentral